Molecule: ribosomal RNA, 397 nt
Filed under: uncultured bacterium
Lineage: Bacteria
Description: bacterial SSU rRNA
Rfam family: Bacterial small subunit ribosomal RNA
Source: RNAcentral
ACUGAAUAGAUACCCUGGUAGUCCAUGCCGUAAACUAUGGAUACUAGCUGUUGGGGGUAUCGACCCCUCCAGUAGCGAAAGCUAACGCGUUAAGUAUCCCGCCUGUGGAGUACGAUCGCAAGAUUAAAACAUAAAGGAAUUGACGGGGACCCGGCACAAGCGGUGGAGCGUGUUCUUUAAUUCGAUGCUAAACGAAGAACCUUACCAGGGCUUGACAUCCCUUGAAUUACUCCGAAAGGAGUGAGUGCUUUAUUGAGCAAGGUGACAGGUGAUGCAUGGCCGUCGUCAGCUCGUGUCGUGAGAUGUUUGGUUAAAGUCCAUCAACGAGCGCAACCCUUAUACUUAGUUGUAUUUUUCUAGGUAGACUGCCCCGGUAACGGGGAGGAAGGGGGNGGUA